Molecule: long non-coding RNA, 1199 nt
Filed under: Triticum aestivum (bread wheat)
Lineage: Eukaryota; Viridiplantae; Streptophyta; Magnoliopsida; Poales; Poaceae
Description: long non-coding RNA (TAES_LNC025410)
Source: RNAcentral
GUAGUGAUGAAGAUACAUGUAUUUUCGCAUAUAUGUUUCUCCAUGCGCAUGUUGUCUAGAACUAAAUUGGCGCAUAACUAGAUGGGAUGUAUGGCUAAGAGAUGAUGGACCAACCUUUUCAGUUUCGUGUUGACAAACAUCAUCUCGUCCGCUUUCAAAUACGACUUCAUGUACCUCAGCUCAAAAGCAUUACAUUAUUGCUCUUCAGAUAGUCCCAACUGCCACCUGCAUGAUAACAUAGCGUGUAUAAGAACAAUAAGUAAGAACCCCUGCUCUACCCUGCUCUACAUCAUUGAGAAAGAACACACAAGACAUGAUGUUAACAUGCCAGUGGAUGCACAUCUUUAGGAACAGGAGCUAAAUAUUACAGAAAUAAUCCCUCCGUCCUAAAAUAAGUGUCUCAAGGUUAGUAUAACUUUGUACUAAUGUUAGUACAAAGUUGAGACAUUAUUUUGAGACAGAGAGAGUACAAAAUACUGAAAAGAAAAGCAAAAUCGAGAUGAAAAAACUUACAAGUACAUCUACAGACCAAAACUGAAGGAAAAAAGAACAAGGAAUGUACGUACUACAUGAAUGGAGGACCUCUUCAAUGUAAAUUAGUUGUCUGGCAGGGAGAACUAGUUAAGUUAUACAAUAGUAUGAAGUAUACAUCCCAAUCCUAAUUGCACAUGCUGACACAGUGUCUCUUCUGUUAUGUACUACUCCCUCCAUUCCUAAAUAUUUGUCUUUUAGAGAUUUCAAAUGGACUACCACAUACGUAUUUAUAUAGACAUAUUUUAGAGUGUAGAUUCACUCAUUUUGCUUGGUAUGUAGUCACUUGUUGAAAUCUCUAGAAAGAAAAAUAUUUAGGAAUGGAGGGAGUAGUACUAGUUCCAACUGCUGCAACUAGGUAGCCUUGAUCAAACGUACAUGCAUCAACACAAGCUAGCUAUCUCACCUCAUUGGCGCCAAAUGGCUACUUACUAGUUACUAGUCAACCAAACUAUCUUUCAACACAUAGACUUGACUUUAUUUUCCAAACUAAUAGGGUUGUCUUUGUUUUUCAGCAAUCAUACAAACAAAAACUAUACCUAAACAGACAUGCAAACAACGAUGGCCAUGGCCUCACUGUAGAACGUGAACCUCACCACCAUAGUAGCCCGCCAUGGAACCAUCUCCUCAAUCUCCCCGGUAUUCAACUUGAAAGACACGAGAAAAUC